AUACGUAGGGUGCAAGCGUUAAUCGGAAUUACUGGGCGUAAAGCGUGCGCAGGCGGUUUUGUAAGACAGUGGUGAAAUCCCCGGGCUCAACCUGGGAACUGCCAUUGUGACUGCAAGGCUGGAGUGCGGCAGAGGGGGAUGGAAUUCCGCGUGUAGCAGUGAAAUGCGUAGAUAUGCGGAGGAACACCGAUGGCGAAGGCAAUCCCCUGGGCCUGUACUGACGCUCAUGCACGAAAGCGUGGGGAGCAAACAGGAUUAGGUACCCUGGUAGUCCACGCCCUAAACGAUGUCAACUGGUUGUUGGGUCUUCAUUGACUCAGUAACGAAGCUAACGCGUGAAGUUGACCGCCUGGGGAGUACGGCCGCAAGGUUGAAACUCAAAGGAAUUGACGGGG
RNAcentral lists this ribosomal RNA (395 nucleotides) under uncultured bacterium. Its description in RNAcentral is "partial 16S ribosomal RNA". It matches the Rfam family "Bacterial small subunit ribosomal RNA", at positions 523 to 918 of the family's 1533-position model. The record is from RNAcentral.